RNAcentral lists this microRNA (24 nucleotides) under Bombyx mori (domestic silkworm). Its description in RNAcentral is "bmo-miR-2738". The record is from miRBase by way of RNAcentral. Lineage: Eukaryota; Metazoa; Arthropoda; Insecta; Lepidoptera; Bombycidae.
AUCUUUUAGAACGGCCAUCUGAUG